UGCAUAUCAAUAAGCGGAGGAAAAGAAACCAACAGGGAUUGCCCCAGUAACGGCGAGUGAAGCGGCAACAGCUCAAAUUUGAAAUCUGGCCCCCCCCGGGGGGCCCGAGUUGUAAUUUGCAGAGGAUGCUUUGGGCGAGGCGCCUUCCGAGUUCCCUGGAACGGGACGCCACAGAGGGUGAGAGCCCCGUCUGGUCGGACGCCGAGCCUCUGUAAAGCUCCUUCGACGAGUCGAGUAGUUUGGGAAUGCUGCUCAAAAUGGGAGGUAUAUGUCUUCUAAAGCUAAAUACCGGCCAGAGACCGAUAGCGCACAAGUAGAGUGAUCGAAAGAUGAAAAGCACCUUGAAAAGGGGGUUAAACAGUACGUGAAAUUGUUGAAAGGGAAGCGCUCGUGACCAGACUUGGGGCGGGCGG
Molecule: ribosomal RNA, 413 nt
Filed under: Aschersonia sp. AaJo
Lineage: Eukaryota; Fungi; Ascomycota; Sordariomycetes; Hypocreales; Clavicipitaceae
Description: LSU rRNA
Rfam family: Eukaryotic large subunit ribosomal RNA
Source: RNAcentral